This 466-nucleotide ribosomal RNA is filed under the name uncultured bacterium. RNAcentral's name for it is "partial 16S ribosomal RNA". It matches the Rfam family "Bacterial small subunit ribosomal RNA", at positions 28 to 507 of the family's 1533-position model. The record is from RNAcentral.
GACGAACGCUGGCGGCGCGCCUAACACAUGCAAGUCGAACGAGCGAGAGAGAGCUUGCUUUCUUGAGCGAGUGGCGAACGGGUGAGUAACGCGUUAGGAACCUGCCUCAAAGAGGGGGACAACAGUUGGAAACGACUGCUAAUACCGCAUAAGCCCACGGUGCCGCAUGGCACAGAGGGAAAAGGAGCAAUCCGCUUUGAGAUGGCCUCGCGUCCGAUUAGCUAGUUGGUGAGGUAACGGCCCACCAAGGCGACGAUCGGUAGCCGGACUGAGAGGUUGAACGGCCACAUUGGGACUGAGACACGGCCCAGACUCCUACGGGAGGCAGCAGUGGGGAAUAUUGCACAAUGGGGGAAACCCUGAUGCAGCGACGCCGCGUGGAGGAAGAAGGUCUUCGGAUUGUAAACUCCUGUUGUUGGGGAAGAUAAUGACGGUACCCAACAAGGAAGUGACGGCUAACUACGUG